UUGACCUAAACAUGGCUCUACCAUAGUUAGUUAAUUCGGAUUCGGCAAAAAUUCGGUACGAGUAUAAUUCGGAUAAAAUUCGUCUUCUAAUUUUUAAAUUCGUUAAAAAAUACGGUUAAAAAACGGAUUCGGUAAUUAUUCGAAUACGUGAUUUAUACGGAUAUUAAACGUUCACCGAUUAAAAAUUCGGAAUCAAAAAUUCGACUAUUAAAUUAAAUUUUUUUCUCUCAAAAUUUAUGCUAUUAGCAUAAAUACUCAUAUUUUUUAAAAAUAUAAAAAUAAAAAGAUAAAAAAUUAAGCUAAUUAAGUAAAAAAAAUAACAAACUAUAUUAUUCUUAUAAAUAAAAUAUUAUAUAAUAAUAUUUUUAUAUAAAAAUAUAAUACUAUGUAUAAUAAAUAAAU
This 402-nucleotide long non-coding RNA is filed under the name Ananas comosus (pineapple). RNAcentral describes it as "long non-coding RNA (ACOM_LNC000355)". Lineage: Eukaryota; Viridiplantae; Streptophyta; Magnoliopsida; Poales; Bromeliaceae. The record is from RNAcentral.